UUGAUAAGGGUGGGAUUCACACCCACCUAGACAGAGCUACAAUCUGCCGCCUACCUCGGCCACCU
Molecule: transfer RNA, 65 nt
Filed under: Lamprolepis smaragdina
Lineage: Eukaryota; Metazoa; Chordata; Lepidosauria; Squamata; Scincidae
Description: partial tRNA-Tyr
Source: RNAcentral